RNAcentral lists this ribosomal RNA (256 nucleotides) under uncultured bacterium. RNAcentral's name for it is "partial 16S ribosomal RNA". It matches the Rfam family "Bacterial small subunit ribosomal RNA", at positions 524 to 776 of the family's 1533-position model. The record is from RNAcentral.
UACAGAGGGGGGCAAGCGUUGUUCGGAAUUACUGGGCGUAAAGGGCGCGUAGGCGGCCUGCUAAGUCGAACGUGAAAUCCCCCGGGCUCAACCCGGGGAACUGCGUCCGAUACUGGAAGGCUUGAAUCCGGGAGAGGGAUGCGGAAUUCCAGGUGUAGCGGUGAAAUGCGUAGAUAUCUGGAGGAACACCGGUGGCGAAGGCGGCAUCCUGGACCGAGAUUGACGCUGAGGCGCGAAAGCUAGGGGAGCAAACGGG